This is a non-coding RNA of Paramuricea clavata, 1454 nucleotides long. The record is from the annotation of a GenBank genome assembly. NCBI's taxonomy places the organism in Eukaryota, Metazoa, Cnidaria, Anthozoa, Malacalcyonacea, Plexauridae.
GCAGUGUUGACAAUAGAAAAUUAUAUUGGGAAGUUGUCAUUUCUACAGUAAAAACAGCUUUUUUUCAAGUAGUACGAAAUGUGACUUCGAUUUAUCUGUGGAACUAUUUGAACAGAAGGUAAAGCAGUAAUUUUGUUGUAUUUAGAAAGCAAACAGGGUCAUAUUUUUAAAAAUAUAGCGCACUGAAUAUAAAUUUGAGCAUCAUUAAAAUGUGUUCGCUAUGAUGCCAUUUUGUCUCCGGUAUAUACUGAGUUCUGCUUUUAUACUUGUGGAUAUUCGAAUUUAUUUGGCUCAAAAACACCAUUACUUCAAUAUCCCUUUUUUGUUUUUCCUUGGAUAGGUUUUAACAAGAUAGAACUCUAGAUCACUUGGGUCCAAAGACGCUAGAUUAUAAAAUCCUGAUGUGACUUGAUACUAUGAAUAGAAUAUGUCUUAUGAUUUAAUACUACAAAUAGAAUGUCUUUUAAGUACAAACUUCAAUGAAUUGAUAAAGUGUAAGGAUAGUGUUUAAAGUCGUUUCAUGUGUAGAAGCUGAAUUACUUUAGUUUAUACACUGUAAUGUCGAUAUCACAUGUUGAUAUGACUUUAAUACUAGCAACUUGCAAUAAGUGGUCUGUCCUGCUUGUUUAUAAUACUUUAGAGUUUGGACAUAGAACAUUGUAAUUGCCUGACAGAGACUGUUUAUAGGGCCUGUUUGUAUGGAAGCCGGGCUGGCCCGCUUAGCGAGACAGGUAGAUACGCAGGAUGAACAUAUGGUCACUUUUUAAUGAACCAAGGAAGAGUCACGCACAAAACAACAUUUAAGCAGUAUAAACAAAGAGAGAGAAGAGAAUAUUGAUUAUUGGAUGUUUAUUAAAAGUGCUAGAUUCUAUCUAAGGUAGAUACGCAGGAUGAUUUCUCUUGUGUUUAUUUGAGAAAAUUUCAUCCUGCUUACCGGGACAAUUUUGUUGUUUUGACAUUGUUUUGACAGUUGUUAAAAAUAGCUUGCGGCAGUAUCGUUGAACAUUCAUCCUGGCAACUGGGCUAUCCUGCUUGUGAUUGUUUAUAUGGAAAAAUUUCCAUCCUGGUCUCUGCAACAGGGCCUCCCGCUUGUACAUAGAAACAAUUUUAAUUAUAAUUUUUACUAUAAAAAUAAGUAGACAGCGAGAUCUCACUUACCGGGCUGUCUCACUUAGCGGGCCAGCCAGUUUCGAUAUAAACAGGCCCUUACACAACUGCUAAAAGCUGCAAGUUUCUUUAAAGCAAUAUCAUCUAUAUCACAGAAUACAGUUUCUGUAGUGACAUACUUCGUGUUUUUUCUGUCUUUAAAGUGUCUUAUGUUUGUAAUAUUUUUGUACAAUACCUUUUUGAAAUUGUUGAUACUGGUCUCAUUGUAACUCAGUUAUUCCUUUUCAAGAAAAAUAAAAAAAACAAAGCUGUGUGGGUGUGUUUUUGCUCUAGUUUUUACAUUUACA